This 262-nucleotide small nucleolar RNA is filed under the name Opisthocomus hoazin. Its description in RNAcentral is "Small Cajal body specific RNA 6". It matches the Rfam family "Small Cajal body specific RNA 6". From Rfam's summary of the family: U88 is small Cajal body specific RNA (scaRNA). scaRNAs are a novel class of small nuclear RNAs which localise to the Cajal bodies. U88 is found associated with both fibrillarin and Gar1p and co-localises with coilin in Cajal bodies. U88 scaRNA is composed of both an H/ACA box and a C/D box conserved domains domains and is predicted to guide 2'-O-methylation of residue U41 of the U5 snRNA. The record is from Rfam by way of RNAcentral. Lineage: Eukaryota; Metazoa; Chordata; Aves; Opisthocomiformes; Opisthocomidae.
GGUCUGUGAUGAAUAGUAAAAGGUCUGAUUAUCCUGAGACUUGCACUUCCAUGACCUUUUCUCCCAGCAGUUUCUCACCAGUCACAGCACAGUAAUGAUGUGGCUGGCAGAGUGUUUGCUGACAGCUUGGGGCGUGUUCAGUUCAUGUUAACCUGAAGUAUCGGAGACAUGACUGGGAUCAGCGUCCGACAGUCUGACUUGAAGGAGUUUGGGGUCUGGAUUGUUGUAGCUGGAUGUGUGAUCUGACUUUUCUGCUGAGACC